ACCAAACUGAAGCUGAAACCUCAGACACUCAGUUCAUCAUUUGAAUGGUAUCAAGAAUAUGAGAUGGUGUGAGGAUGAUGGGAGAAAGGGCAUCUGUUGCUUGUUUUGGUUCCUCCUGAAUCCACAGUCAGUACUCAGUAGAGUAGCCAUGAUUUUAAUUAUUUUAAGAGGAAGAUUCACAAGGAUGUGCCCACAAAACACUGCCAAUUUGCAGCUGAAAAUGAUAACUGGAUUGAUAUUCCUCUUUGAGAUGCAAGCAGAUGCCUCCACCAACUAUCUCGAACCGGAAUGCCGCAGCCUCCCCUUCGUCCGCAUUUAUCCUUGGCAGGAGCACCGUCUAUUUUGGGAAGGACGAAUCCCUGAGGACACCUGCAAAGGACUGGAAGCUCUUAGCAACUCCUUGACCUGAGAGUGAGGAACCGAGUGGCGGGGAGCCCCAGGACCUGCCCAUCAUCACGUCUCUGCAGUGGCCUUGCCACAACCUGCCCGGCGGGUUCUCCUGGAUUGGGGGAAGGUCUGGACCCGUGUCCCUCGGGGGUUCUCCUAGGUCUCUUAUGGAGGAGGUGGCAGGGCAGGGAAUUGCUCAGUGACUUUCGACUCCAUUUCCAAGGCACAUGCAUUGUUAAGUGCUAAGACUUCUGUAAGAUAGUUGGAGUGGAAAAUGGAACCCUUAAUCCUAGACCCUAAAGUUCAACUCUUUCAUGAUCGCUACAAUGGGUGCUAAAGAGAAGAGAACAGAGGAAACAGUCUGGGCAAAUGUAUCCUGUUUGUUGUUAUGGGGCUUUGGUCUCAAAUCUCUGUGGUUGAGCUGAGCUAGUUUGGAGCAUGUGUCAGCUGUGAGCAUGCCCUUUGCCUGUCUAAAUUCAGGUGGAAGACGAAAAGCCUAAUGAUAAGUUCAAGGUCAAAUAAGUCUAAAUAUGAAUAAGAAGCAAUAAAGCAUAGUCCUAAAGUCA
RNAcentral lists this long non-coding RNA (953 nucleotides) under Sus scrofa (pig). Its description in RNAcentral is "lncRNA (ENSSSCG00070012938.1)". The record is from RNAcentral. Lineage: Eukaryota; Metazoa; Chordata; Mammalia; Artiodactyla; Suidae.